Long non-coding RNA from Rhodamnia argentea, 878 nucleotides. RefSeq lists it as uncharacterized. The record is from RefSeq and is a predicted model, not a curated record. NCBI's taxonomy places the organism in Eukaryota, Viridiplantae, Streptophyta, Magnoliopsida, Myrtales, Myrtaceae. The transcript has 2 exons.
UUUGCUUGCUUUUCCUGAUUGCUUGAAUUGUUUUUUUUUUUUUUAUUGUUCUGCGAUAUUUGAACUGUAAUUCUCUCUUUCGUCUGUGCCCAUAUGACUGCUCAAGGUAAUUUAAUUAUUAACAUGUGGAUUAUUAAGGAUGGUUCUGUAGGCAAAGUGCAAAAGCACAUAGGCAAAGGAGACAGAUCAUUUUGCUGGAUCACGGCGCUCUUGAACCACAAAAUUCGUCGGGGUUCUUUCAAGCUAAUUUCAUAUAGGGUGUGAAUCCGAUAUGCUGCUAGUUUGCAAGAGCUAGUAGUGUGGCACCUGGAGAUGAAGCCUCGCUUCCGGGUGGGGGCGGAGAUGUGCCGGCGCCGGUGGUUGGGGUUGAUAGUGGCGGGAUCUGGCGGGACGGGAGGUCGGGCCAUCGGAAGUUUCACCGAUGAUGACCUCUACUCUUAAUUUAUAUCUCGAGCUUGAGUCCGUGUAUGACAAGUGGACGUCUUUGUUCAAGCCGCGUGAGGGAGGAGAUCUUUAGUAAUCGGUCAAUCUAUAUUCUCGAGAUUUUUUCUGCACAGGAGACUCUCUUAAUUCCCACACAUUGAAGUCCUUUAUUGAGCCCCACAGAGUGGAGAGUUUCUUUGGUUCAUACAUAAGCAAGCUCCGGACACAUGGACGAUUUGUGCUGUGAAUUCUGCAUCCGAUUGAGUUUUUUUUUUUUUUUUUUUGCUAAGCGUGGUUUUGGACUUAGUUUAGUUGUGGGAAACGCUUGAGUGUAUGAGAGAUUGUAAUUCUAAUUCUCCGAUUAUUAGUGGAUAACUUGCUGUUGGCUCUUCCCGUGGAGUAGGUACCGACACUCGGGACCGAACCACGUAAAUAUCUAGUGUCCUUUAUGGUUC